GUCUUAGAAAACCAGGCUUUAAAGACGAUGCUGACGUCACGACCGUCUUUGAAGGUUGACUUUCUAAGACGUUGUCGACAUUAGCACCGUCUUUGAAGCUUGGCUUUCUAAGACAGUCGUGAUGUCAGCACCGUCUUAGAAGCCUGACUUUCUAAGACGUUCGUGAUGUCAACACCGUCUUUGAAGCCUGGCUUUCUAAGA
Molecule: microRNA precursor, 201 nt
Filed under: Glycine max (soybean)
Lineage: Eukaryota; Viridiplantae; Streptophyta; Magnoliopsida; Fabales; Fabaceae
Description: miR4374c stem-loop (gma-MIR4374c)
Source: miRBase by way of RNAcentral